This 497-nucleotide ribosomal RNA is filed under the name uncultured bacterium. RNAcentral describes it as "partial 16S ribosomal RNA". It matches the Rfam family "Bacterial small subunit ribosomal RNA", at positions 28 to 507 of the family's 1533-position model. The record is from RNAcentral.
GAUGAACGCUGGCGGCGUGCCUAAUACAUGCAAGUCGAGCGAACAGACGAUGUGCUUGCUCCCCUGACGUCACCGGCGGACGGGUGAGUAACGCAUGGAUAACUUACCUAUGAGACAGGUGCAACUACGGGGGACCGGAGCCAAUAACGGAUAAUAUAUUAAAGCGCAAGGAUAGAUAGUGCAAGGCGGCUUUGCAGUCGGUUAUUGUUCUAUCCGCGUCGCAUUAGCUAGUUGGUAAGGUAACGGCUUACCAAGGCAACGAUGCGUAGCCGACCUGAGAGGGUGAUCGGCCACACUGGAACUGAGACACGGUCCAGACUCCUACGGGAGGCAGCAGUAGGGAAUCUUCCGCAAUGGGCGAAAGCCUGACGGAGCAACGCCGCGUGAGUGAUGAAGGUCUUCGGAUCGUAAAACUCUGUUAUUAGGGAAGAACAAAUGUGUAAGUAACUGUGCACGUCUUGACGGUACCUAAUCAGAAAGCCACGGCUAACUACGUG